Molecule: small nuclear RNA, 99 nt
Organism: Ictidomys tridecemlineatus (thirteen-lined ground squirrel)
Lineage: Eukaryota; Metazoa; Chordata; Mammalia; Rodentia; Sciuridae
Source: Ensembl
GUGCUUUGGCAGCAUAUAUGCUAAAAUUGGAAUGAUAUAGAGAUUACUAUAGUUCAAGUCCAAAGAUGUCACAAAAAAUCUUAAGUGCUCCAUAUUUUG